UACGUAGGGAGCUAGCGUUGUCCGGAAUCAUUGGGCGUAAAGAGCGUGUAGGCGGUUAGGUAGGUCCGUUCUGAAAACUCGAGGCUCAACCUCGAGACGCGGAUGGAAACCAUCUAACUAGAGUCCGGAAGAGGAGAGUGGAAUUCCUGGUGUAGCGGUGAAAUGCGCAGAUAUCAGGAAGAACACCCGUGGCUAAGGCGGCUCUCUAGUACGGUACUGACGCUGAGACGCGAAAGCGUGGGGAGCGAACAGG
This 253-nucleotide ribosomal RNA is filed under the name uncultured bacterium. RNAcentral's name for it is "partial 16S ribosomal RNA". It matches the Rfam family "Bacterial small subunit ribosomal RNA", at positions 524 to 776 of the family's 1533-position model. The record is from RNAcentral.